Molecule: ribosomal RNA, 253 nt
Filed under: uncultured bacterium
Lineage: Bacteria
Description: partial 16S ribosomal RNA
Rfam family: Bacterial small subunit ribosomal RNA
Source: RNAcentral
GACGGAGGGUGCAAGCGUUGUUCGGAAUUACUGGGCGUAAAGCGUACGUAGGCGGUAGAUUAAGUCGAAUGUUAAAGCCUGAGGCUCAACCUCAGAGAUGCAUUCGAUACUGGUUUACUAGAGGGUGAUAGAGGAAAGCGGAAUUCCGAGUGUAGCGGUGAAAUGCGUAGAUAUUCGGAGGAACAUCAGUAGCGAAGGCGGCUUUCUGGGUCACACCUGACGCUGAGGUACGAAAGCGUGGGGAGCAAACGGG